Molecule: ribosomal RNA, 253 nt
Filed under: uncultured bacterium
Lineage: Bacteria
Description: partial 16S ribosomal RNA
Rfam family: Bacterial small subunit ribosomal RNA
Source: RNAcentral
UACGAAGGGGGCUAGCGUUGCUCGGAAUCACUGGGCGUAAAGGGCGCGUAGGCGGCGUUUUAAGUCGGGGGUGAAAGCCCGUGGCUCAACCACAGAAUGGCCUUCGAUACUGGGACGCUUGAGUAUGGUAGAGGUUGGUGGAACUGCGAGUGUAGAGGUGAAAUUCGUAGAUAUUCGCAAGAACACCGGUGGCGAAGGCGGCCAACUGGACCAUUACUGACGCUGAGGCGCGAAAGCGUGGGGAGCGAACAGG